GAUGUCACCACUCUCAUAUACAUAUCGUUCCGACUCUCUUUCAUGUGCUGUAUGCGUGACGUAUCAGUGUGUUGUGAAACACAAGGAAUAUUUGCUGUCAUCAUGCCAGUCGUCUCCUUUAAUGAAGCUGCGUCACUGCACGGCCUCGAAUCUGGCAACAUUGAUGCCUUCACCCAAAAAGAUCACGUUCUCGUGAUGCCUGCAGCAGAAAAGAUGUUCCACGUCCGCUGCCAAGGUAUGCCUGUGUGAUACACCUUUCCUCUACUUGGCAAACAAGGAACCACGUCAAAUGGACUUGCGCAGGAAAGAAGCGCAGGAAGAACACCACCAAGAACAAGUAAAGAAGCCCAAAAUGUAAAACAAAGAUUACUUUAGUAGAAUAUAACUUUAAAAGAAAGCAGUUGGCAACCCAGGCACACAACCUUCGCGAAGUUGUGUUCCUUCGCCAGCCAAUCACAGACGCAAACAAAAUCAUUGUCAUGUGGCCUUUUCAAAAUGGCGUCGUACUUGAUACCUCAGGAGCAUCUGCUGUUCUUGAAGAGUCUUUUCAUCGGUGGAAGCAAUGAGGUGUGCAACAGACAUAGACAAAAUAUAUGGACUCUGAACAUUUCACUCUUCAAAAGUCUGUGGUGCCGCUGAUUUCACUUCUGAACCUGUUUUACUCAUGAAACUUCAGUGCGAACUGAAAUGAAACUUGACAAUAAAUAGUUGCAGCAAAGCAAGCAUGUUAUUUCAGUUCAAUAAAAAAUUAGGCUUCAGCCAUUCCACUAUAACAGACGAGGGAAAAGAUAUA
Molecule: long non-coding RNA, 793 nt
Organism: Dermacentor albipictus
Lineage: Eukaryota; Metazoa; Arthropoda; Arachnida; Ixodida; Ixodidae
Source: RefSeq, a predicted model, not a curated record